GCCCCUCAUAGUAUAGUGGCUAUGACACUCGGCUUUAAAUCGAGUGGACUCGGAUUCGAAUCCCGAUUAAGGCA
This is a non-coding RNA of Trichonephila inaurata madagascariensis, 74 nucleotides long. The record is from the annotation of a GenBank genome assembly. NCBI's taxonomy places the organism in Eukaryota, Metazoa, Arthropoda, Arachnida, Araneae, Nephilidae.